AUGUAUAUUGCAGUUAACUUAUAUCGCACGGAGAAGCUGAAAAACUUGGCUAGGAUUUCAGUAUUGGUACAAAAAGAAGGACCCAGACUACCGCCAUCUUGGCCUAACCAUGGCCAUGGCCAUUUCCUGCUUCCUCUCUCUCAAGAUCCAGGCUUUUAAGCUCCCUUUUCACAGACUAGAUCACGCCAGGCCGGCAAGGCUCUGGUAGCCCCACCUCGAGAAAGGCUAGAGCAAGCAAGACAGUCCAGUGACCCCCGCCUCAAAGACAGCUACAAACCCCCUCCCAACUCUGUCAAAAUGAUUGUAAGACAUAGUACCAUUCUAGGACCCUUGCCAGUGGUGCUCUCUCCAGUUCUAACUCAAAUAAAACAGGUUUGUUGUUGUCACUGUUCUUUUAUUUCUCACCCUUUUUCCUGACAUAAAACACAGAGAAACGAGUCACCAAUAUACUUAGAACCCAAAUACUGAAAAUCCAUUAUACCACUGUAUUCAGUAAGACCCUUCAAUUGUGAAUUACUAACAUGAGCCACUAAAAUGUUUUUUAAUAUAGCAUGCUAUAUUACAAAAAUAAAGAAAACAAAAAUUACAAGAAUAGCAGUGAAGCCUACAUAUUUUAUUCUGAUGUUAUAAUUGACUACCAAAGCUGUAUUUUGUUCAUAUAAAGAAUAAAGUUCCUUUAAAAAUCAUUAUGUAAGAACAGUUGAAAGAUACUGACAUUUGGUGUUGUUAGAGGAAUUUAGCUAUGUGUUUUUAUUUC
Molecule: long non-coding RNA, 757 nt
Filed under: Chinchilla lanigera (long-tailed chinchilla)
Lineage: Eukaryota; Metazoa; Chordata; Mammalia; Rodentia; Chinchillidae
Description: lncRNA (ENSCLAG00000026583.1)
Source: RNAcentral